CCAUGCAGUCGAACGGUAACAGGUCUUCGGAUGCUGACGAGUGGCGAACGGGUGAGUCUCCUUCGGAACGUGCCUAGUAGUGGGGGAUAACUACUCGAAAGAGUGUCUAAUACCGCAUGAGAUCUACGGAUGAAAGCAGGGGAUCGCAAGACCUUGUGCUACUAGAGCGGCCGAUGGCAGAUUAGGUAGUUGGUGGGAUAAAAGCUUACCAAGCCGACGAUCUGUAGCUGGUCUGAGAGGACGAUCAGCCACACUGGGACUGAGACACGGCCCAGACUCCUACGGGAGGCAGCAGUGGGGAAUUUUGGACAAUGGGCGCAAGCCUGAUCCAGCAAUGCCGCGUGCAGGAUGAAGGCCUUCGGGUUGUAAACUGCUUUUGUACGGAACGAAAAGCCCUGGGUUAAUACCCUGGGGUCAUGACGGUACCGUAAGAAUAAGCACCGGCUAACUACGUGCCAGCAGCCGCGGUAAUACGUAGGGUGCAAGCGUUAAUCGGAAUUACUGUGCGUAAAGCGUGCGCAGGCGGUUUUGUAAGACAGAGGUGAAAUCCCCGGGCUCAACCUGGGAACUGCCUUUGUGACUGCAAGGCUAGAGUACGGCAGAGGGGGGAUGGAAUUCCGCGUGUAGCAGUCGAAUGCGUAGAUAUGCUGAGGAACACCGAUGGCGAACGCAAUCCCCUGGGCCUGUACUGACGCUCAUGCACGAAAGCGUGGGGAGCAAACAGGAAUAGAUACCCUGGUAGUCCACGCCGUAAACGAUGUCAACUGGUUGUUGGGUCUUAACUGACUCAGUAACGGAGCUUACGCGUGAAGAUGACCG
This 819-nucleotide ribosomal RNA is filed under the name uncultured bacterium. RNAcentral's name for it is "bacterial SSU rRNA". It matches the Rfam family "Bacterial small subunit ribosomal RNA", at positions 53 to 871 of the family's 1533-position model. The record is from RNAcentral.